This 732-nucleotide ribosomal RNA is filed under the name Klebsiella sp. HGH0247. RNAcentral's name for it is "bacterial SSU rRNA". It matches the Rfam family "Bacterial small subunit ribosomal RNA", at positions 76 to 805 of the family's 1533-position model. Lineage: Bacteria; Pseudomonadati; Pseudomonadota; Gammaproteobacteria; Enterobacterales; Enterobacteriaceae. The record is from RNAcentral.
GAGCUUGCUCUCGGGUGACGAGCGGCGGACGGGUGAGUAAUGUCUGGGAAACUGCCUGAUGGAGGGGGAUAACUACUGGAAACGGUAGCUAAUACCGCAUAAUGUCGCAAGACCAAAGUGGGGGACCUUCGGGCCUCAUGCCAUCAGAUGUGCCCAGAUGGGAUUAGCUAGUAGGUGGGGUAACGGCUCACCUAGGCGACGAUCCCUAGCUGGUCUGAGAGGAUGACCAGCCACACUGGAACUGAGACACGGUCCAGACUCCUACGGGAGGCAGCAGUGGGGAAUAUUGCACAAUGGGCGCAAGCCUGAUGCAGCCAUGCCGCGUGUGUGAAGAAGGCCUUCGGGUUGUAAAGCACUUUCAGCGGGGAGGAAGGCGAUAAGGUUAAUAACCUUGUCGAUUGACGUUACCCGCAGAAGAAGCACCGGCUAACUCCGUGCCAGCAGCCGCGGUAAUACGGAGGGUGCAAGCGUUAAUCGGAAUUACUGGGCGUAAAGCGCACGCAGGCGGUCUGUCAAGUCGGAUGUGAAAUCCCCGGGCUCAACCUGGGAACUGCAUUCGAAACUGGCAGGCUAGAGUCUUGUAGAGGGGGGUAGAAUUCCAGGUGUAGCGGUGAAAUGCGUAGAGAUCUGGAGGAAUACCGGUGGCGAAGGCGGCCCCCUGGACAAAGACUGACGCUCAGGUGCGAAAGCGUGGGGAGCAACAGGAUAGAUACCCUGGUAGUCACGCCGUAA